UCCUAUUCUCUCUCUCUUCCAAAUCAAUGCAUUUUCUCUCUCUUCCUUGGUUUUCUUCCUCAUCCAUGUGUCCCUCUUUCCUCUGCUCAAACACAGGCCGCUCGCUCUCUCUCUGUCUCUCUUUCCCUUGCUCGUUGAGAAAAACCCAAAGGCCCCUCGUCUUCCCUAUUCAAAGGCCGCUCAUCUUCCAUCUUCCCUGUGCCUUUCGCUCGCUUAAAAAAACCCAAAGGCCGCUCACUCGAUCCCUGGUGUGGCCUCCCCACCCUCUCUCUUUUCCCCUGAUGUUAAAGAAUACCCCAAAGGCCACUCUCUCUCUCUCUAUCUCUCUCUCUACCCAUCGCUCGCUCGAUCCCUGACUAGCCUCCUAACAGCAGCUCACCCCAUCUCUAUAGGUACUCUCUUUCUCUCUAUAUAUAUUUGACUCAGUUAAAAUGAGUUUAUAUCACAAAUCUAUAGUAUCCAUUGGGGUUUAUAUCAUAAACUAAUUUGCAUAUGAUUUUUUGGAAUUAUGUUAUUAUUUCUUUCAAAAAAUUACCAUUAAUCGAUGGAAAUGGUUGAUAAUAGAUUGUUGUACACACACGUCCCAUAAUUUUGCAGGUUAAUGGUAAAACUACCUUUGGCAUUCAAAAAAGGGUUUGUUAUAUUUCCUCAUCAGUUUUGAACGAUAUUCCAAGUCAAUUCAUACUAGGAAAACGGUUAUCUCAAUUUGUCGAUAAGAUGAUCAGAAAUAAAAGCGGCGUGGUUGUUUUUUAAUGAAAUAUCCAACUCCAUGUUUAUCCAUCUCCAUGUUAUAAAAACUUGUGAUGUAUCUAUCUGUUGCAAUUUUUGUAUGUGGCAAGGUGGGUUGAGAAAAAUACGAUUGGUAUUAUUAAAACUGAAAUAAAUUGUAUUUCUAAUUUCAGUUAGAAUGAGUUUAUAGGUACUCUUCACUCUGUAUUUGGCUCAGUUAAAAUGAGUUUAUAUCACAAAUCUGUAGUAUCCAUUAGGGUUUUUCCUGUAUUUUUUUCCCAUUGGGGUUUUUCGCCCCUGUUGCAUUGAGUUUACAUCACAAAUAUGUAGUAUCCAUCUGUUGCAAUUUUUGCAUUUGUUUCUAUAGGUUGAGAAAAAAUAUGAUUGGUAUUAUUAAAAUUGAAAUAAAUUGAGUUUCUGAUUUCAGUUCAACAGAUUCUCUCUCAGCAUCGAUGUGUUUUUGUGCAUUGGCUACAGAGAGAAAAUACAAUGGCUGAUGCAUUCCAUGGAUGUGAUAGAGUGAGAAUAGCAUUUGAUCGCAUCUGAUCAUUUUAACAGAAGCAUCCUUUAAAAAACAAAUCAAAUGAGUUCGUUGAGAACAAGUUUUCUUUCAAAAAUUUCUAAGCUUUGUUAUGUUUAUUUUUAUACAUUUUGAUAUAACAUAUAUUAUGUCUAAGCCCAAUAUCUUCAUGUGGCAUCUGAUGCACCAUAUAAUGAAUUACUUACUCUUGGAAAUUAGAAUACAUCUGUCGCAAAUUUUUAUUUAUUUUUUCAAUUGUGUCUUUCUCCCCCAUUUUCUUUCCCUUUUUGUUUUUUUGUUUUUUUGUUGCAUUUUUUUUUUUUUGCCCAUUGGGUUGUUUUGUCCCUACUGCAUUGAGUUUAUAUUACAAGUAUGUAGUAUCCUUUGUUACAAUUUUUGCAUGUGGCAAAGUGGGUUGAGAAAAAUAUGAUUGGUAUUCUUAAGAUGAAGGUUUGAAUACAUGUGUUUUUGUAGUUUACAGUUUCACGUUAGGUAAGUCAAAAAACUGAGAUGGAUUCCACGAAUUCAAUGGGUGUGACAUUCAGCACAUACCCAAAUGUAGGCAGCAUUGAUGAAAUCCCGGAGGUGGUUGUGGCACCUCAAACAUAGGCCAAUAAAUAGAAGAACCAUAUAUAGGAAUGAUGUUUGGAUCAUAGGAUGAUGCAUAUGAGUUCUUUAAUUCUUAUGCAUUGACUAAAAGUUUUGGUAUUCGUAUGGGGAGUACUCAUAACAAGAAAGGUAAACGGAUCGAUAGGGUUUAUAUUUGCUCAAAGGAAAGCUUUAAACAAGAAAAACCUAAUAAAAGUGGAAAGGUUUACCCUGAGUUAAGGUGUGGGUGCAAGGUUAGGAUGUACAUAAGUAGUCAAGAAGACGGCGAGUGGAAGUAACUAGCGUCAUUAAAGAUCAUAAUCACGAUCUAGUUAGUCUAAGAAAAACUCGUCUAAUUCACACACAUCGAUUAUUGUCGAGUGCUACAAAGUUAUUGAUACAUUCAAUGAGCUCAGCAAUGAUUAAGCCUAGACAUAUUAAUGACAUAUUUAUAGAGCAGGCUGGACGGAUCGACAAUGUCCCUUAUAUACAAAAGGACAUUCAAAAUGAAAUAGUAAGCGCUAGAAGAAAACUUAAAGGGGAAGAUGGCAAUUUAAUUUUGUAAUGGCUUUAUAAAAACAACCAAUCGAACCCAUCAUUUUUCUAUAGAUUGAGAUUAGAUGGUGAUAAUCACAUUCGCAGUAUCUUAUGGGUAGAUUAUACAUCUAGAGUUUCCUACAAGUGCUUUUCUGAUGUGGUUACCUUUAAUACCAUAUAUAUGACAAAUACGUUUGGUGUGCCCUUUGCACCUAUACUUGGUGUAAAUCAUAAUUUCAGUACAACGUUUUUUGGAUUUGCACUCAUAUUUGACGAGAAAAUAGAAUCAUUUAUAUAAGUAUUUGAAAACUGGUUGGAAGCCAUAGGUGGACGGCAGCCAUACAUUAUUCUCACUAAUCAAGAUCCUGCAAUUUUAUAUGCAAUGAUGCAAGUUCUCUACCAAAGUAAACAUCAUUAUUGUAAGUGACACAUAUUUACGAAGAUCAAAGAAAAAAUGUGUCUUGUCUUGCAUAUGCAUCUUUCUUAUUCAAAUACAUUUAGGAGGUGUGUGGCUAGCGCAACAAUUAAAGAAUUUGAAUUGGGAUGAAAAUCAAUGAUUGAUAAUUAUAAGUUGGAAGACAAUGAAUGGCUUAGUAGACUUUAUGGUUGUCGCAUGCAAUGUGUUGAUGCAUACUUGGCUGGCACAUUCAUUGUGGGUAUUACCUCUACUCAAAUGAGUGAAGGGAUGAAUGCACACUUCAAAAUGUACUUGACACCCACAACAAGCUUGCGUACAUUAUUAGAAGUUAUUCCAAAAGUCCAAGAUAAGAAGGUGCGAAAAUAAAGGGAAAAUGACUGAAAAGAUAUUCAAACUACUCCAAUCUUGCGAACAGCCACUUUCAUUGAGUCACAUGCAUAAAAAAUUUGUACUCAAAAUAUUUUAAAGAUAUUUGGGGAAGAGGUGGCUAAUUACUUUAAUUUUACGAGGGAGACAAUUGAAAACAAUGGAUAGGUUGCUACCUUUAAGGUGGCAGUCCCGAGGACCGGAUCUAGACCCUACUUAAUGAAAUUCAAUUGUCAUGACAAUUCCGAUUCUUGCAGUUGUCACUUCUUUGAGAGGAUGGGUCUUCUUUACAAGCAUGUACUGAAGUUUUUUAUGGUGAAAGAUGUAUUUGAAAUCCUUUCACAAUAUAUAAUGAGGCGUUGGACCAAGGAUGUAAAGAAGUGAGUUUUUCUUGAUGACAUUAGGGAACAAAUUCAAGUAACAUCUGAACUACCAUGCUCUAUUAGAUAUAAUGAGGCUAUGCAGGCAAGUCGAUCCCUUGCCGAGCGUGCUUCACGAAGUAUAGAGGCCAUGGGUUUGUAAUGUCCAUGAUACAAAAUGGAAUUCGUCAGUUUGAUGAAAAGUUUGUGUGCAAGAGAGGUCUAUAGGAUAAUGCCAUGAGUUAUCUCAAUGAAUAUGACAAUUCCGCUAGAUGUAGUAACGUACCAAGUGGAAGUAACCAUUGCCACAAUAUCCUUGAACCUGCACGUGCACGGACAAACGGACGACCGGUCACUAAAAGAAUGAAAGCUUGUUCUGAGGGAUGGAAGCCGAAGACUAAAAAAACAAAAUGCGCAGUCUGCAAUGGCAGUGGACAUGACAAAAAGAAUUGCUCGUCGUUCGUUGUGAUAGGACAAAACACAUCGUAAGCUUCGGACCCAUAAGACGGCAGCAGAUGUGCAUUGAUGACAGAGAGAACAAAUUCAUAUGGAACAACUUCAAAGGAGGGGUUAUGUUGUUGGCUUCUUUUUUUCUUUUUUUUUGAAAUGUUUGUUGUUAAACUAUUGCCAUUAUUGAUGGUGGUUGUAUACCAUUCACUCAAAAAAAAAGAUUGUUGUAUGCCAUUGUACUCUUUUCACUUCCUUUUGGGUUAUAUGGUGAUAUGUAAGGUGAUUGGGUACAAGGAACGAACCAUGAUGUAACAAUGGGUUGGACUAUUGAACUUUAUAUGAACAAUUUUGCUAUUGAAUGGACUACCCCAUUUGGAAGGUAGUUUAUGAA
Molecule: long non-coding RNA, 4358 nt
Organism: Amborella trichopoda
Lineage: Eukaryota; Viridiplantae; Streptophyta; Magnoliopsida; Amborellales; Amborellaceae
Source: RefSeq, a predicted model, not a curated record